GAUGAAGAACGUAGCGAAAUGCGAUAAGUAGUGUGAAUUGCAGAAUUCAGUGAAUCAUCGAAUCUUUGAACGCACAUUGCGCUCUUUGGUAUUCCAAAGGGCAUGCCUGUUCGAGCGUCAUUUGUACCCUCAAGCUUUGCUUGGUGUUGGGCGUCUUGUCUCUAGCUUUGCUGGAGACUCGCCUUAAAGUAAUUGGCAGCCGGCCUACUGGUUUCGGAGCGCAGCACAAGUCGCACUCUCUAUCAGCAAAGGUCUAGCAUCCAUUAAGCCUUUUUUUCAACUUUUGACCUCGGGUCAGGUAGGGAUACCCGCUGAACUUAAGCAUAUCAAUAAGCGGAGGA
This 341-nucleotide unclassified non-coding RNA is filed under the name soil metagenome. Its description in RNAcentral is "partial contains 5.8S ribosomal RNA, internal transcribed spacer 2, and large subunit ribosomal RNA". The stretch from base 1 to 120 matches the Rfam family "5.8S ribosomal RNA", at positions 35 to 154 of the family's 154-position model. The record is from RNAcentral.